This 262-nucleotide long non-coding RNA is filed under the name Eucalyptus grandis. RNAcentral describes it as "long non-coding RNA (EGRA_LNC004780)". Lineage: Eukaryota; Viridiplantae; Streptophyta; Magnoliopsida; Myrtales; Myrtaceae. The record is from RNAcentral.
GUUUGGUAUCUCGACGGCAUGGAUGAGCUCCACACAAACGAAGACCAAGACACCACAUUUCCUUUGGGUCUGAAGAGAUCCCAAGCAGACGCCGUUGAGAAUUUCCCCGAUGGAUGCCGUAACCAUUGGAAACGGUCUUCUUGUUGAUUAAACUCAGGUAGGGGAUCCCACCAAUUAGCCCUAACAUUAAUAACAUACCAACCAAGAGGCGUGGACAAAGCAUCAGCAACAGAGGCAUCUCGGGGGAUGCCGGAACGAUAUA